Molecule: unclassified non-coding RNA, 307 nt
Filed under: Hevea brasiliensis (rubber tree)
Lineage: Eukaryota; Viridiplantae; Streptophyta; Magnoliopsida; Malpighiales; Euphorbiaceae
Source: RNAcentral
UAAUCAAGUUGCAAAAUGAAUAACUUUAUAGGUUGAAGUAAUAGAGGGAAAGGAAGAAAAUAAUACUGAAUUGCCUGAUUAUUCCCUUGAGUUUUUUAGUAUAAAUAUUGUUAGUCAUAUAUUAGGAAUGGUAUGUAUACAUAUUUGUAGGUCAUAUUCAUAGGCAUACUAGCUAUAGGCAUAAUCUUAGCAUACCUUUAUAGGGAUGCUUUUAGCACACUAUCACAACUAGCAUUUUAACACUCCCUUUCAAGCUGGAGCACACAUAUUAUAUUCUCUUAGCUGUUAUAAAUGUAUUCAAUUCGAG